Molecule: ribosomal RNA, 484 nt
Filed under: uncultured bacterium
Lineage: Bacteria
Description: partial 16S ribosomal RNA
Rfam family: Bacterial small subunit ribosomal RNA
Source: RNAcentral
AUUGAACGCUGGCGGCAGGCCUAACACAUGCAAGUCGAGCGGAUGAAGGGAGCUUGCUCCUGGAUUCAGCGGCGGACGGGUGAGUAAUGCCUAGGAAUCUGCCUGGUAGUGGGGGAUAACGUCCGGAAACGGGCGCUAAUACCGCAUACGUCCUGAGGGAGAAAGUGGGGGAUCUUCGGACCUCACGCUAUCAGAUGAGCCUAGGUCGGAUUAGCUAGUUGGUGGGGUAAAGGCCUACCAAGGCGACGAUCCGUAACUGGUCUGAGAGGAUGAUCAGUCACACUGGAACUGAGACACGGUCCAGACUCCUACGGGAGGCAGCAGUGGGGAAUAUUGGACAAUGGGCGAAAGCCUGAUCCAGCCAUGCCGCGUGUGUGAAGAAGGUCUUCGGAUUGUAAAGCACUUUAAGUUGGGAGGAAGGGUAGUAAGUUAAUACCUUGCUGUUUUGACGUUACCAACAGAAUAAGCACCGACUAACUUCGUG